CUCAUCCUAAGAGGACUCGCCGCUCUUCCAUGACGCCGCCGCUGCAACGCGGCGUUGUUCCAGCACCAAAUCGCAGGUUUUUCACGGUGCCUAUUUACUUGCCCUUCGUCUGCAUAGUUGAGCGCAAGCUUCUGGCCUUAAUAUAGACUUUUGAAAACAUUAUAUUUCAUGCCUGCACAUUACUAGAAACAUAAUUACACUGCGUAGAUUUAGCGGAUUUAAAUAAUACUAUUGUCUCAGUAAAAAAAUAUUUUUCAACUUCAAAUUAUAUGCUGGCUUCAGAUUGUUUUCUUAAAAACCAAGAGCUCUUUUGGGGUUUGCAGUAGUGUGGUUUACAAGAGGUAGCCACGGUUCUUCAAAAAUUUGAAGUGUUAGCAAAAGGAGUGGAACAGAUCAAACUGAAGCUAUUUUAUUUAAUAUUAUCUACUUCUACUUGAACUUUGAUGGGAAUCUGAUGUAACCAUCCCGCAAUCUGAAAAUACUGUAUGAUGUGCAGAGAAAAUCUCUGUUUACAUGUAACUGCGCUGAACUCUGCUUAUAUUUCUCUAUGCGCCACAAAGUUCAAGCAGUUGUAACUAGUAUACAAACAUACUUUGCUCACAGUAUAAUCAUCUGAUGCAAUGUGAUAGUUCCAGCAAAAUUUCUUCACCUAUAAAUCAAAUUAUGUUACUUCUCUUUGUGUAAAUCUUGGAUUUCUAGAUCUUAUGAAAAUGACUUUUUAUUUCAGCAAGUGUAAUUUGAAUUUGUAAUCUUUUUAAAUAUAGAUGCAUCUUUGCAAAUCCAACAAAGUGGUGGGAAUAUCUACAACAUGAAGUUUCUCAAGCUGAUAGGGCAUUCUUCUGCAUGUUUGUGACAUGAUCAUGGUGCGCAUAUAUUUAAUAGUGAAGGUCUUCGGCUAUCACUAUGAAUGGUUCUGCUGUUGUGUAAGUGAUUUCUUAAGUGUUGUGUUGUAACACAUUAGAGUAAAAGAUUAAUUGUGUAUGAAGAAUAAUAUUGUGGAGUCAGGCAGAAUUUGACCUUAGUUCUGACCAAAUUAAUCUUUAUUUGUUUGCUAGGUUGUGUGUCAAACAUCACUUCGUGUUGUAGUGCAUUUUUUCCUUUCAGAAUCCACAUUAUGCAAUUUGGCUUUAUAAGAAGUUUCACUUUAUUAUUAGUGGAGAACGGGAGAUAAGGAAAGGGAAGGGAAAAACAGUAAUUCUAGCAACUAGCCAUUGUUCCAUGGCAAAACACAGGUGUUUGUUCUAUUAUGUUCAUCGGAAGUCUUUACGGAGGAGUUGGGUCUGGGUGAGUGACAUAGAUUUGCUUGAGAUCACGAAUUCUUUUCUGCUGUUACUUGCAUCUUACUUGAAUUUUUUUUCUUCAAGUUCUUCAUGUUUUCCCAUAUCGUCUGCUCUAUAGAAGCUGCUACCUCAAAUUAAGUAAGUGCAUCCUUCUUUUUUGUCCAAGUUUGUUCUAUUCUAUUACUCAGAAGUCUGUACAAGACUGAGAGAGUGAAGCAUAUUUGCUUGAGAUUUGAAUUAUUUUUUGAUGUCAGGUUUGUAUGCUGUACUGUUUGAUUAAUGAAAACUGAUAAAAGUAGUGGCAAACACUUGAUUGAGUAUGUUACUGGAUUUUACCAGUCAUACACAGUUGUUUCUUGCAAUAUUAUCUGCAUGACAAGAAACACCCAUAUUUGAUUUUGCUCUGUGAUUGGUUCAAAUAUCACUUUUUGGGCUAAAGCUGAUUGGAUACGAGUAGUAGUGUCAACAGUAAUAACUUGAAACAUGAUUUUAUCAUGGCUCUAAAUUUUAUUGCUGAUGAUUUCUUUCAGGAUAUUUGUAGAGGCUAUUUGCACCGUAGUUCAAGGCAGAUGAUAGAGUACAGGCUAGGCAACUCACUUAUAUUGGUACUCGUUUAAAUGGUUAUCUAUUCUGCCGGCAUAGUUACAUGCCAUAUUAAUUUCAGAAGAACAAUUUCUAAUCUAGUGUUGUGCUUGCAUGCAUUGUUAUGUCUAAAAAGAAACGCAGACGCCUCGCCGCUCGAUAAAAAGAAAAAAAGGAAAGGAAAUAACCCACGACCGCGCACCUCAUCUCCCACUAACCUCACAAUCCCAUCUCGAACUCCACCGCGCCUCCACUCCCGCCCCGCCCCAUCUUACCGAUGCGUUCGAGUAGGGCGCCACCGCCGCGCGUGGCCGCGCGGCCAGUUUUCUUCUCUCUCUAUCCGUUCUGGGGGCGCUCGACAUCGCCGUGCCGCCGAUCUGCCGGCUUCUCUGGAACUCCGUUUGUCAGCAUCUUCUCCACCCCUUGGUGAUGAGCGGCUGAGCCAAGGAGCGGAGUCAGGCGCCGCCGCGCGUACAUGCCGCGUUCGUGCGAGAGUGGGGACGGUCUGACAGGGGAUGCAGACUUGGUUGGGGAACAAGAGCACGCGAAGCUAGGAGCAGGGGCCGAUCGAUGGGCAGCGCGAGGACCUCCUACUGGUUCUACAUGUUCCUCUCUCUGCCUAUCCAUUACAAGCAUAGAGGUGAACUCAUGGUUGUAUUGAUAGGUGAUUUAAAGUGCGUGGUUGUGAGGAAAUCAGUAUAAAAUCGUUGUUGUCGGAGUUCCCUUGGAACUGCGCAGAAGAUGGGGUGAUGGAUUCAGUGUCAAGAUUCAAUGAAGAUCCAUCUGUUCGUGGCCUGCUUGUUCACCCACUACUACCACAAGCAAUGUAUUUUACUUUUCUAGAUGCAGCCCUAGAAAGGAAUUAUGUUUGGUUUAGUUCAUAGAAAGAUAUAUCAUAAAAUCCUUUUUGUUUACAUACUAACUGAAUAAUACGAAGUAUUUUAGUUCUCAUGGUAAUAGACAAGCAACUUCAGUAGUAUUUGAUUUGAGUUUUUGUUUUUAAGUAUAUGUUUGCUCAAGAUUCAACUUUCUUUAUGUCCAUGUUUUGCUGGUAUAAUGCAUCAUCAAGCUUUGUUUUAUAUGAUGACAUUGUGUAAAUCAGCAUAUGGAUGAGGAAAGUAUUCUGAGCGCAGAUGCUCGCCGCCGCCACUGCUUCCGACAAUGUGUGAGCCGCCUAAUCGAGCGAGGAUUCGCCGCUCAUCCUAAGAGGACUCGCCGCUCUUCCAUGACGCCGCCGCUGCAACGCGGCGUUGUUCCAGCACCAAAUCGCAGGUUUUUCACGGUGCCUAUUUACUUGCCCUUCGUCUGCAUAGUUGAGCGCAAGCUUCUGGCCUUAAUAUAGACUUUUGAAAACAUUAUAUUUCAUGCCUGCACAUUACUAGAAACAUAAUUACACUGCGUAGAUUUAGCGGAUUUAAAUAAUACUAUUGUCUCAGUAAAAAAAUAUUUUUCAACUUCAAAUUAUAUGCUGGCUUCAGAUUGUUUUCUUAAAAACCAAGAGCUCUUUUGGGGUUUGCAGUAGUGUGGUUUACAAGAGGUAGCCACGGUUCUUCAAAAAUUUGAAGUGUUAGCAAAAGGAGUGGAACAGAUCAAACUGAAGCUAUUUUAUUUGAUAUUAUCUACUUCUACUUGAACUUUGAUGGGAAUCUGAUGUAACCAUCCCGCAAUCUGAAAAUACUGUAUGAUGUGCAGAGAAAAUCUCUGUUUACAUGUAACUGCGCUGAACUCUGCUUAUAUUUCUCUAUGCGCCACAAAGUUCAAGCAGUUGUAACUAGUAUACAAACAUACUUUGCUCACAGUAUAAUCAUCUGAUGCAAUGUGAUAGUUCCAGCAAAAUUUCUUCACCUAUAAAUCAAAUUAUGUUACUUCUCUUUGUGUAAAUCUUGGAUUUCUAGAUCUUAUGAAAAUGACUUUUUAUUUCAGCAAGUGUAAUUUGAAUUUGUAAUCUUUUUAAAUAUAGAUGCAUCUUUGCAAAUCCAACAAAGUGGUGGGAAUAUCUACAACAUGAAGUUUCUCAAGCUGAUAGGGCAUUCUUCUGCAUGUUUGUGACAUGAUCAUGGUGCGCAUAUAUUUAAUAGUGAAGGUCUUCGGCUAUCACUAUGAAUGGUUCUGCUGUUGUGUAAGUGAUUUCUUAAGUGUUGUGUUGUAACACAUUAGAGUAAAAGAUUAAUUGUGUAUGAAGAAUAAUAUUGUGGAGUCAGGCAGAAUUUGACCUUAGUUCUGACCAAAUUAAUCUUUAUUUGUUUGCUAGGUUGUGUGUCAAACAUCACUUCGUGUUGUAGUGCAUUUUUUCCUUUCAGAAUCCACAUUAUGCAAUUUGGCUUUAUAAGAAGUUUCACUUUAUUAUUAGUGGAGAACGGGAGAUAAGGAAAGGGAAGGGAAAAACAGUAAUUCUAGCAACUAGCCAUUGUUCCAUGGCAAAACACAGGUGUUUGUUCUAUUAUGUUCAUCGGAAGUCUUUACGGAGGAGUUGGGUCUGGGUGAGUGACAUAGAUUUGCUUGAGAUCACGAAUUCUUUUCUGCUGUUACUUGCAUCUUACUUGAAUUUUUUUUCUUCAAGUUCUUCAUGUUUUCCCAUAUCGUCUGCUCUAUAGAAGCUGCUACCUCAAAUUAAGUAAGUGCAUCCUUCUUUUUUGUCCAAGUUUGUUCUAUUCUAUUACUCAGAAGUCUGUACAAGACUGAGAGAGUGAAGCAUAUUUGCUUGAGAUUUGAAUUAUUUUUUGAUGUCAGGUUUGUAUGUUGUACUGUUUGAUUAAUGAAAACUGAUAAAAGUAGUGGCAAACACUUGAUUGAGUAAGCUACUGGAUUUUACCAGUCAUACACACUUGUUUCUUGCAAUAUUAUCUGCAUGACAAGAAACACACAUAUUUGAUUUUGCUCUGUGAUUGGUUCAAAUAUCACUUUUUUGGCUAAAGCUGAUUGGAUACGAGUAGUAGUGUCAACAGUAAUAACUUGAAACAUGAUUUUAUCAUGGCUCUAAAUUUUAUUGCUGAUGAUUUCUUUCAGGAUAUUUGUAGAGGCUAUUUGCACCGUAGUUCAAGGUAGAUGAUAGAGUACAGGCUAGGCAACUCACUUAUAUUGGUACUCGUUUAAAUGGUUAUCUAUUCUGCCGGCAUAGUUACAUGCCAUAUUAAUUUCAGAAGAACAAUUUCUAAUCUAGUGUUGUGCUUGCAUGCAUUGUUAUGUCUAAAAAGAAACGCAGACGCCUCGCCGCUCGAUAAAAAGAAAAAAAAGGAAAGGAAACAGCCCACGACCGCACACCUCAUCUCCCACUAACCUCACAAUCCCAUCUCGAACUCCACCGCGCCUCCACUCCCGCCCCGCCCCAUCUUACCGAUGCGUUCGAGCAGGGCGCCGCCGCCGCGCGUGGCCGCGCGGCCAGUUUUCUUCUCUGUCUAUCCGUUCUGGGGGCGCUCGACAUUGCCGUGCCGCCGAUCUGCCGGCUUCUCCGGAACUCCGUUUGUCAGCAUCUUCUCCACCCCUUGGUGAUGAGCGGCUAAGCCAAGGAGCGGAGUCAGGCGCCGCCGCGCGUACAUGCCGCGUUCGUGCGAGAGUGGGGACGGUCUGACAAGGGAUGCAGACUUGGUUGGGGAACAAGAGCACGCGAAGCUAGGAGCAGGGGCCGAUCGAUGGGCAGCGCGAGGACCUCCUACUGGUUCUACAUGUUCCUCUCUCUGCCUAUCCAUUACAAGCACAGAGGUGAACUCAUGGUUGUAUUGAUAGGUGAUUUAAAGUGCGUGGUUGUGAGGAAAUCAGUAUAAAAUCGUCGUUGUCGGAGUUCCCUUGGAACUGCGCAGAAGAUGGGGUGAUGGAUUCAGUGUCAAGAUUCAAUGAAGAUCCAUCUGUUCGUGGCCUGCUUGUUCACCCACUACUACCACAAGCAAUGUAUUUUACUUUUCUGGAUGCAGCCCUAGAAAGGAAUUAUGUUUGGUUUAGUUCAUAGAAAGAUAUAUCAUAAAAUCCUUUUUGUUUACAUACUAACUGAAUAAUACGAAGUAUUUUAGUUCUCAUGGUAAUAGACAAGCAACUUCAGUAGUAUUUGAUUUGAGUUUUUGUUUUUAAGUAUAUGUUUGCUCAAGAUUCAACUUUCUUUAUGUCCAUGUUUUGCUGGUAUAAUGCAUCAUCAAGCUUUGUUUUAUAUGAUGACAUUGUGUAAAUCAGCAUAUGGAUGAGGAAAGUAUUCUGAGCGCAGAUGCUCACCGCCGCCACUGCUUCCGACAAUGUGUGAGCCGCCUAAUCGAGCGAGGAUUCUCCGCUCAUCCUAAGAGGACUCGCCGCUCUUCCAUGACGUCGCCGCUGCAACGCGGCGUUGUUCCAGCACCAAAUCGCAGGUUUUUGCCGGUGCCUAUUUACUUGCCCUUCAUCUGCAUAGUUGAGCGCAAGCUUCUGGCCUUAAUAUAGCCUUUUGAAAACAUUAUAUUUCAUGCCUGCACAUUACUAGAAACAUAAUUACACUGCGUAGAUUUAGCGGAUUUAAAUAAUACUAUUGUCUCAGUAAAAAAAUAUUUUUCAACUUCAAAUUAUAUGCUGGCUUCAGAUUGUUUUCUUAAAAACCAAGAGCUCUUUUAGGGUUUGCAGUAGUGUGGUUUAAAGAGGUAGCCACGGUUCUUCAAAAAUUUGAAGUGUUAGCAAAAGGAGUGGAACAGAUCAAACUGAAGCUAUUUUAUUUAAUAUUAUCUACUUCUACUUGAACUUUGAUGGGAAUCUGAUGUAACCAUCCCGCAAUCUGAAAAUAAUGUAUGAUGUGCAGAGAAAAUCUCUGUUUACAUGUAACCGCGCUGAACUCUGCUUAUAUUUCUCUAUGCGCCGCAAAGUUCAAGCAGUUGUAACUAGUAUACAAACAUACUUUGCUCACAGUAUAAUCAUCUGAUGCAAUGUGAUAGUUCCAGCAAAAUUUCUUCACCUAUAAAUCAAAUUAUGUUACUUCUCUUUGUGUAAAUCUUGGAUUUCUAGAUCUUAUGAAAAUGACUUCUUAUUUCAGCAAGUGUAAUUUGAAUUUGUAAUCUUUUUAAAUAUAGAUGCAUCUUUGCAAAUCCAACAAAGUGGUGGGAAUAUCUACAACAUGAAGUUUCUCAAGCUGAUAGGGCAUUCUUCUGCAUGUUUGUGACAUGAUCAUGGUGCACAUAUAUUUAAUAGUGAAGGUCUUCGACUAUCACUAUGAAUGGUUCUGCUGUUGUGUAAGUGAUUUCUUAAGUGUUGUGUUGUAACACAUUAGAGUAAAAGAUUAAUUGUGUAUGAAGAAUAAUAUUGCGGAGUCAGGCAGAAUUUGACCUUAGUUCUGACCAAAUUAAUCUUUAUUUGUUUGCUAGGUUGUGUGUCAAACAUCACUUCGUGUUGUAGUGCAUUUUUUCCUUUCAGAAUCCACAUUAUGCAAUUUGGCUUUAUAAGAAGUUUCACUUUAUUAUUAGUGGAGAACGGGAGAUAAGGAAAGGGAAGGGAAAAACAGUAAUUCUAGCAACUAGCCAUUGUUCCAUGGCAAAACACAGGUGUUUGUUCUAUUAUGUUCAUCAGAAGUCUUUACGGAGGAGUUGGGUCUGGGUGAGUGACAUAGAUUUGCUUGAGAUCAUGAAUUCUUUUCUGCUGUUACUUGCAUCUUACUUGAAUUUUUUUUCUUCAAGUUCUUCAUGUUUUCCCAUAUCGUCUGCUCUAUAGAAGCUGCUACCUCAAAUUAAGUAAGUGCAUCCUUCUUUUUUGUCCAAGUUUGUUCUAUUCUAUUACUCAGAAGUCUGUACAAGACUGAGAGAGUGAAGCAUAUUUGCUUGAGAUUUGAAUUAUUUUUUGAUGUCAGGUUUGUAUGCUGUACUGUUUGAUUAAUGAAAACUGAUAAAAGUAGUGGCAAACACUUGAUUGAGUAAGCUACUGGAUUUUACCAGUCAUACACAGUUGUUUCUUGCAAUAUUAUCUGCAUGACAAGAAACACCCAUAUUUGAUUUUGCUCUGUGAUUGGUUCAAAUAUCACUUUUUGGGCUAAAGCAGAUUGGAUACGAGUAGUAGUGUCAACAAUAAUAACUUGAAACAUGAUUUUAUCAUGGCUCUAAAUUUUAUUGCUGAUGAUUUCGUUCAGGAUAUUUGUAGAGGCUAUUUGCACCGUAGUUCAAGGCAGAUGAUAGAGUACAGGCUAGGCAACUCACUUAUAUUGGUACUCGUUUAAAUGGUUAUCUAUUCUGCCGGCAUAGUUACAUGCCUUAUUAUUUUCAGAAGAACAAUUUCUAAUCUAGUGUUGUGCUUGCAUGCAUUGUUAUGUCUAAAAAGAAAGCAGACGCCUCGCCGCUCGAUAAAAAGAAAAAAAAGAAAGGAAACAGCCCACGACCGCACACCUCAUCUCCCACUAACCUCACAAUCCCAUCUCGAACUCCACCGCGCCUCCACUCCCGCCCCGCCCCAUCUUACCGAUGCGUUCGAGCAGGGCGCCGCCGCCGCGCGUGGCCGCGCGGCCAGUUUUCUUCUCUGUCUAUCCGUUCUGGGGGCGCUCGACAUCGCUGUGCCGCCGAUCUGCCGGCUUCUCCGGAACUCCAUUUGUCAGCAUCUUCUCCACCCCUUGGUGAUGAGCGGCUGAGCCAAGGAGCGGAGUCAGGCGCCGCCGCGCGUACAUGCCGCGUUCGUGCGAGAGUGGGUACGGUCUGACAGGGGAUGCAGACUUGGUUGGGGAACAAGAGCACGCGAAGCUAGGAGCAGGGGCCGAUCGAUGGGCAGCGCGAGGACCUCCUACUGGUUCUACAUGUUCCUCUCUCUGCCUAUCCAUUACAAGCAUAGAGGUGAACUCAUGAUUGUAUUGAUAGGUGAUUUAAAGUGCGUGGUUGUGAGGAAAUCAGUAUAAAAUCGUUGUUGUCGGAGUUCCCUUGGAACUGCGCAGAAGAUGGGGUGAUGGAUUCAGUGUCAAGAUUCAAUGAAGAUCCAUAUGUUCGUGGCCUGCUUGUUCACCCACUACUACCACAAGCAAUGUAUUUUACUUUUCUGGAUGCAGCCCUAGAAAGGAAUUAUGUUUGGUUUAGUUCAUAGAAAGAUAUAUCAUAAAAUCCUUUUUGUUUACAUACUAACUGAAUAAUACGAAGUAUUUUAGUUCUCAUGGUAAUAGACAAGCAACUUCAGUAGUAUUUAAUUUGAGUUUUUGUUUUUAAGUAUAUGUUUGCUCAAGAUUCAACUUUCUUUAUGUCCAUGUUUUGCUGGUAUAAUGCAUCAUCAAGCUUUGUUUUAUAUGAUGACAUUGUGUAAAUCAGCAUAUGGAUGAGGAAAGUAUUCUGAGCGCAGAUGCUCGCCGCCGCCACUGCUUCCGACAAUGUGUGAGCCGCCUAAUCGAGCGAGGAUUCGCCGCUCAUCCUAAGAGGACUCGCCGCUCUUCCAUGAUGCCGCCGCUGCAACGCGGCGUUGUUCCAGCACCAAAUCGCAGGUUUUUGCCGGUGCCUAUUUACUUGCCCUUCGUCUGCAUAGUUGAGCGCAAGCUUCUGGCCUUAAUAUAGACUUUUGAAAACAUUAUAUUUCAUGCCUGCACAUUACUAGAAACAUAAUUACACUGCGUAGAUUUAGCGGUUUUAAAUAAUACUAUGUCUCAGUAAAAAAAUAUUUUUCAACUUCAAAUUAUAUGCUGGCUUCAGAUUGUUUUCUUAAAAACCAAGAGCUCUUUUGGGGUUUGCAGUAGUGUGGUUUACAAGAGGUAGCCACGGUUCUUCAAAAUUUUGAAGUGUUAGCAAAAGGAGUGGAACAGAUCAAACUGAAGCUAUUUUAUUUAAUAUUAUCUACUUCUACUUGAACUUUGGUGGGAAUCUGAUGUAACCAUCCCGCAAUCUGAAAAUAUUGUAUGAUGUGCAGAGAAAAUCUCUGUUUACAUGUAACUGCACUGAACUCUGCUUAUAUUUCUCUAUGCGCCGCAAAGUUCAAGCAGUUGUAAGUAGUAUACAAACAUACUUUGCUCACAGUAUAAUCAUCUGAUGCAAUGUGAUAGUUCCAGCAAAAUUUCUUCACCUAUAAAUCAAAUUAUGUUACUUCUCUUUGUGUAAAUCUUGGAUUUCUAGAUCAUAUGAAAACGACUUUUUAUUUCAGCAAGUGUAAUUUGAAUUUGUAAUCUUUUUAAAUAUAGAUGCAUCUUUGCAAAUCCAACAAAAUGGUGGGAAUAUCUACAACAUGAAGUUUCUCAAGCUGAUAGGGCAUUCUUCUGCAUGUUUGUGACAUGAUCAUGGUGCGCAUAUAUUUAAUAGUGAAGGUCUUCGGCUAUCACUAUGAAUGGUUCUGCUGUUGUGUAAGUGAUUUCUUAAGUGUUGUGUUGUAACACAUUAGAGUAAAAGAUUAA
Molecule: long non-coding RNA, 10146 nt
Filed under: Triticum aestivum (bread wheat)
Lineage: Eukaryota; Viridiplantae; Streptophyta; Magnoliopsida; Poales; Poaceae
Description: long non-coding RNA (TAES_LNC017884)
Source: RNAcentral